CAGCCGCUCGUCUACAGUAUCGGAAGACGCACCGACAGCGUCGAGGUUGUUUUCACCUGAGACUUAACCAUCACCGCGACGAUUUCGUUCAGUAUAAUUCCUCGUUUUCACCUUCUGGACAACGUCUGUGAUAGUGACGACUUAAAGAUCCAACGCAAGACUUACGAAUCCAUACACAAUUUUAGUUGGUCAAACUCUCCUAAUGAGGCUGUAGUUGUCAUGUUAAUCCUCUCUAGAAUGAACCUUUCAUGUUGUAUAAAUUCUAACAGCGGAUCCGCAACUAGGGAGCAGUAUACGAGACAAUUGAUAUCGGGGGGAACAAGAAAAAGAGACUGAGCAAUCAUUCGCCUGGCGGCUUGGAAACUUCGAUUAAAGGAUGUAGCAAGACAGAGCUAACAGGGGAAGACUUCAACGUUUAGAGCUAAACACGAAACUUGUCGGUGCAUAGAAUGCCUUCGUAGGCCUGUGAGUAUGAUGCUUCUCGUUUCUCCACAAAAAAAUUAUUGAACGGAUAUCAUCCGACUAAUUCUUAGUUGCAAGUUUAAUUUCUAUAUUAAAUACAAACACGAAAAAUCUCAACGUAUUGUAUAGCAGCUGGCUGAGGAAGACUUUUGACAGCGUCGUUUUGUAGGGACUCGGACAACUAAUUUCUUCUAGUUCAUCAUUCGGAAUGCUCGCCUUGAGGAGCAAAUGUAUUGGAAUUUUUCUUGUAUUUGGUUAACCUCUAUUCAUUCUUGCUAUUCCAACUUUAAACCUCGGCUCUUCAGUAAAAAGCACGACUGACCAUUUCAAGACUCUAAGAUUAGAGUGGUUUACUACAUCAGCUGCCAACGACAGACUACACCAUCCAUAGCAACUAUUUUGUCUUCUUCAACGACAGUAACGUGUCAGAGUUAUUGAGAGUGAAUGCUCUAGGUAAGCGAAAGUGAACUGGAAUACCAAUUCGUAAAUCCAGAUGUUACCAAAACUUUGAUGUUCAAGAAGAAUUCUGUAGAUGAGCUGGAAUGUGGUCCUUCGGAGUAGUUCUCCACAAGCUCUCAUGGACCUUCACUUAUAACAUCUUUAUUUGGGUAGCAGUUGGGAGAAAUUUUUGACACGUCAGGUUAUCCCUACUAUCAUACGGUGAUGGCUUAUAAUUGGGGUGCACUUUUACCCUCUUUUGUCUCCCUCUGGGAUAAAGAUGGGUAAUUAUUCCAUCAGCGCUCCGUAAUGGCUGGAGUUUAAAAGGAAAGAAAGCAGCUUUGAAGUGUUGCCUAUUCCGAAAAGACUUGCGUAUUGGGUCGAGUAAGAUUAUUGCAGUUGGAGAGGGAGUAGCUCAGAAUGAGCAGCCAGGACUGAGAACCAGUGAGAGUGGUGUCCUCAAAUGUUCCUCUGACAUGAAGAAAAAGGUGUAGAGAUCCAUAUUCAUGAUGAAGUGGUAGUAGCGCCACAGGACGCUCAUAACUGUGAACAAGAGCCUCGCAAAAAGUUUAAGCGGUGCAGUAUUCUUCAGUGGACACUGUUGCCAGCCCCGUCGAACAUCUUUUAUGAGAUGCACAUCUGAUGCCAAAUUGUGGUUCGCGUGCAGACGCUGGCCAUCAAACUCAUCCUUUUGACUUUAUCUUAAUGAAAAAAUAGCUGCGUUUCGGCCAAGUUCAAUGGUCAGGGCAGGAUGAUCACUAAUUAUUUGUACCGUGAGACAAGGUUUUUUAUUUUUUUGAAGUACAAGAGAAUGUUCUUUCAAGAAAUUGUUUUUGGAUGAAU
Non-coding RNA from Musa acuminata subsp. malaccensis (wild Malaysian banana), 1743 nucleotides. The record is from RefSeq and is a predicted model, not a curated record. NCBI's taxonomy places the organism in Eukaryota, Viridiplantae, Streptophyta, Magnoliopsida, Zingiberales, Musaceae.